CCUACGGGGUGCUGCAGUCGAGAAUCAUUCACAAUGGGGGAAACCCUGAUGGUGCGACGCCGCGUGGGGGAAUGAAGGUCUUCGGAUUGUAAACCCCUGUCAUGUGGGAGCAAAUUAAAAAGAUAGUACCACAAGAGGAAGAGACGGCUAACUCUGUGCCAGCAGCCGCGGUAAUACAGAGGUCUCAAGCGUUGUUCGGAAUCACUGGGCGUAAAGCGUGCGUAGGCUGUUUCGUAAGUCGUGUGUGAAAGGCGCGGGCCCAACCCGCGGACGGCACAUGAUACUGGCAGACUAGAGUAAUGGAGGGGGAACCGGAAUUCGCGGUGUAGCUGUGAAAUGCGUAGAUAUCGAGAGGAACACUCGUGGCGAAGGCGGGUUCCUGGACAUUAACUGACGCUGAGGCACGAAGGCCAGGGGAGCGAAAGGGAUUAGAUAUCCCAGUAGUC
Molecule: ribosomal RNA, 446 nt
Filed under: uncultured bacterium
Lineage: Bacteria
Description: partial 16S ribosomal RNA
Rfam family: Bacterial small subunit ribosomal RNA
Source: RNAcentral